UACGGAGGGGGCUAGCGUUGUUCGGAAUUACUGGGCGUAAAGCGCACGUAGGCGGCUUUGCAAGUUAGAGGUGAAAGCCCGGGGCUCAACUCCGGAAUUGCCUUUAAAACUGCAUCGCUAGAAUUGUGGAGAGGUGAGUGGAAUUCCCAGUGUAGAGGUGAAAUUCGUAGAUAUUGGGAAGAACACCGGUGGCGAAGGCGGCUCACUGGCUCAUUACUGACGCUCAGGCGCGAUAGCGUGGGGAUCAAACAGG
This 253-nucleotide ribosomal RNA is filed under the name uncultured bacterium. RNAcentral describes it as "partial 16S ribosomal RNA". It matches the Rfam family "Bacterial small subunit ribosomal RNA", at positions 524 to 776 of the family's 1533-position model. The record is from RNAcentral.